RNAcentral lists this ribosomal RNA (378 nucleotides) under uncultured bacterium. RNAcentral's name for it is "bacterial SSU rRNA". It matches the Rfam family "Bacterial small subunit ribosomal RNA", at positions 521 to 898 of the family's 1533-position model. The record is from RNAcentral.
UAAAACGUAGGUCACAAGCGUUGUCCGGAAUUACUGGGUGUAAAGGGAGCGCAGGCGGGAAGACAAGUUGGAAGUGAAAUCUAUGGGCUCAACCCAUAAACUGCUUUCAAAACUGUUUUUCUUGAGUAGUGCAGAGGUAGGCGGAAUUCCCGGUGUAGCGGUGGAAUGCGUAGAUAUCGGGAGGAACACCAGUGGCGAAGGCGGCCUACUGGGCACCAACUGACGCUGAGGCUCGAAAGUGUGGGUAGCAAACAGGAUUAGAUACCCUGGUAGUCCACACCGUAAACGAUGAUUACUAGGUGUUGGAGGAUUGACCCCUUCAGUGCCGCAGUUAACACAAUAAGUAAUCCACCUGGGGAGUACGACCGCAAGGUUGAA